GACGAACGCUGGCGGCGUGCUUAACACAUGCAAGUCGAGCGGUAAGGCCCUUUCGGGGGUACACGAGCGGCGAACGGGUGAGUAACACGUGGGUGACCUGCCCUCAGCUCUGGGAUAAGCCUGGGAAACUGGGUCUAAUACCGGAUAUGACUCCAUGACGCAUGUUGUGGGGUGGAAAGCCUUGUGCGGCUGAGGAUGGGCCCGCGGCCUAUCAGCUUGUUGGUGGGGNGAUGGCCUACCAAGGCGACGACGGGUAGCCGGCCUGAGAGGGCGACCGGCCACACUGGGACUGAGACACGGCCCAGACUCCUACGGGAGGCAGCAGUGGGGAAUCUUGCGCAAUGGGCGAAAGCCUGACGCAGCGACGCCGCGUGAGGGAUGAC
RNAcentral lists this ribosomal RNA (383 nucleotides) under uncultured bacterium. Its description in RNAcentral is "bacterial SSU rRNA". It matches the Rfam family "Bacterial small subunit ribosomal RNA", at positions 28 to 412 of the family's 1533-position model. The record is from RNAcentral.